Molecule: ribosomal RNA, 373 nt
Filed under: uncultured bacterium
Lineage: Bacteria
Description: bacterial SSU rRNA
Rfam family: Bacterial small subunit ribosomal RNA
Source: RNAcentral
UAAUACGGAGGAUCCGAGCGUUAUCCGGAUUUAUUGGGUUUAAAGGGUGCGUAGGUGGUUUUUUAAGUUAUAGGUGAAAGCUCGACGCUCAACGUCGAAAUUGCCUUUAAUACUGAAGAACUAGAGACCAGUUGCAGAAGGCGGAAUGUGUGGUGUAGCGGUGAAAUGCUUAGAUAUCACACAGAACACCGAUUGCGAAGGCAGCUUUCUAAGCUGGUUCUGACACUGAGGCACGAAAGCGUGGGGAGCGAACAGGAUUAGAUACCCUGGUAGUCCACGCCGUAAACGAUGAUAGCUCGAUGUCGGCGAUAUACAGCCGGUGUCUAAGGGAAACCGAUAAGCUAUCCACCUGGGGAGUACGUUCGCAAGAAUG